GGAGGGGUGUCCGAGCGGUUGAAGGAGGCGGUCUUGAAAAUCGUUGAACCUUUACGGGUUCCGUGGGUUCGAAUCCCACCCUCUCCG
This 87-nucleotide transfer RNA is filed under the name Desulfonispora thiosulfatigenes DSM 11270. It matches the Rfam family "tRNA". From Rfam's summary of the family: Transfer RNA (tRNA) molecules are approximately 80 nucleotides in length. Their secondary structure includes four short double-helical elements and three loops (D, anti-codon, and T loops). Further hydrogen bonds mediate the characteristic L-shaped molecular structure. tRNAs have two regions of fundamental functional importance: the anti-codon, which is responsible for specific mRNA codon recognition, and the 3' end, to which the tRNAs corresponding amino acid is attached (by aminoacyl-tRNA synthetases). tRNAs cope with the degeneracy of the genetic code in two manners: having more than one tRNA (with a specific anti-codon) for a particular amino acid; and 'wobble' base-pairing, i.e. permitting non-standard base-pairing at the 3rd anti-codon position. The record is from Rfam by way of RNAcentral. Lineage: Bacteria; Bacillati; Bacillota; Clostridia; Eubacteriales; Peptococcaceae.